UACAGCUGUAGGUAUCUCCUCACCACUACAGCUGUAGGUACCUCCCCACCACUACAGCUGUAGGUACCUCCCCACCACUACAGCUGUAGGUAUCUCCUCACCAUUACAGCUGUAGGUAUCUCCUCACCACUACAGCUGUAGGUAUCUCCCCACCACUACAGCUGUAGGUAUCUCCUCACCAUUACAGCUGUAGGUAUCUCCCCACCACUACAGCUGUAGGUAUCUCCCCACCACUACAGCUGUAUGUAUCUCCCCACCAUUACAGCUGUAGGUAUCUCCCCACCACUACAGCUGUAGGUAUCUCCCCACCACUACAGCUGUAGGUAUCUCCCCACCAUUACAGCUGUAUGUAUCUCCCCACCACUACAGCUGUAUGUAUCUCCUCACCACUACAGCUGUAUGUAUCUCCCCACCACUACAGCUGUAGGUAUCUCCCCACCACUACAGCUGUAUG
Oncorhynchus keta (chum salmon) is the source of this 454-nucleotide long non-coding RNA. RefSeq lists it as uncharacterized. Lineage: Eukaryota; Metazoa; Chordata; Actinopteri; Salmoniformes; Salmonidae. The transcript is spliced from 3 exons. The record is from RefSeq and is a predicted model, not a curated record.